Long non-coding RNA from Cottoperca gobio, 2099 nucleotides. Ensembl lists it as uncharacterized. Lineage: Eukaryota; Metazoa; Chordata; Actinopteri; Perciformes; Bovichtidae. The record is from Ensembl.
GUGAAGUCAUGUCACGUUUACUGAAGGAAAUAAGAUCAUAUCGACACAGCAGCAGCUCGUGUGUUUGAAGGGGCAGGUUUACACACCGACUCGGACAUUCGGUCAGUGACUCGAGAAGAACUGCACGAGCUAUUUCCUGAAUCAAAGAAUAUCAAGCGGAGAAGGACUAUCUUUGACCUAAUACACAAACAGGUGAGAUUUAAAUAGAGAUGACGUGGAUGUAAACUAGUCACUAGUCAAAUGCUCUAUUGAAAUAAUUAUGUAAUAUAAUAUUUCUCUUUCAGAAGCCAGUUGAACAGCUCCUAAGAGAAGUAAGAGAGUUCAUCCCAGAUGACAAUUUCAAGGGUAUGUAUUAUGUAAAGCCUUGCUAACAGUGACUUUCACUUUCACAUUAUCUUGUUUUUUUGGACCAUGGCUGUGGAGGAAAUGUAUGUUACUGUGUUUAUGUUGUCAUUCAGAUUUUAACACACACAACCUCAUUCUCUCUCUCUCUCUCCAGCGGCUCUAACUGACAAUGGAGUCCUGGUUAAUUACCUCAGUAUCCUGAAGGACAUGAAGACCCAAAUGAAUAAUAUCCAGAGUUUCCUUGAUGCUCACAUCAAUGUUCUGGAAGAAUUUAGAUGGAAUCAGCCCAAUCAGGAAUCUGCUCUCUGUAUUUCAAUGAAACCCCACGAUGACGGCCAAAACUCAUACACAAGUACUUCAUCCACCAGUGGUCAAAUGGAGGUCUACAAUCCCCAUCAGGCACAAGCAGCCCCAUUAAAGGAACCUAAAAGUUGUCCUCCCAGCCAUCUGACUACCCAAUCAAGCUUUUGUGGCAGGAGAUCUGACAUCGAUGUUGAAUUCGUUCACUUCGAAUCCUUCACCCAUUUGUCUCCACAUGACGCCACCGUGAUGUACCGUAUGGUUGUCAGCGGUCAAACCUUUGGUGCACAUCAACAGCUGAUGGACAAAUUCAAGAAUCAGGAUCAGUUUAUACUUACUGAAGACACAAACAACUACGAGAUCACUUUUGUCUUCUGCCCAAUCAGUUCACGCAUUCAGUCAGAUGUUGACGCAGCCAUGAGUAAUGUUAAAGAUGAUAAACCUGUCAUUCUGGUGUUGAUGCACCACACACGUGAGGCCAAGAUCAUGACAUAUAUGAAAACAUAUGACGCUAAAGUUCAGUUGCAUGUCAACGUUUUCUACCAUGAGACGAAACGUGGAUUAAUUCCGUGUUAUGAAAAUAGGGCUGCUGUGACCGAUAUACAAAGAGUACUAUGGGGCUUCAUUAAGAAGAGUUAAGAGGAAAUGAUGACGGUGUGAUGGACAUCUAGUUGUCCUGUGAGGUGGUGGUGGUAACAACAUCAGUCGUUCUGGUUUUCUUUAGCUUGGUUAUUAGAAUUAGCUCUGUUGAUGGUGGCAACGAUGGUAUUAUUUCCGUUCACACAAGUAAACAAUAUGUAAUGGAUCAUAAACAGCAAAAAUAAAACAGGCAACAUUUGAUUGAUUUAGACCAAUAACUGAUUUACAUGAAAAUGAGAUCAGCUACUGAUUGUGGUCUAAUGAUGUCAGUAUUAAUGGGUGUAAACAGCUAAACAAAAAGUUGUUUGCUUAUUUCCUGCUUAUGAAUUUCUAAAGCUCUUAUAACCCUAACUCAUUAGACUAAUAUUGUAAUAAAAUGCAUUUCCUAUAAUCAAAUGUAUAAUCCAGUGUUCUCCAGUUGCUAUUGUUGUUUCUGUAUAGACGUAUUAAGACUUGAAUGUACCGUGAGUUUAAAGAGUGCCACAAAGCUCAGUAACUGGCCAAAGGAUGACCUUUGAGAAUAAAGUAUAUCAGAAAUCACAUGGUUGAGAGAUUAUAUCUGCAUGUUUUACACCCUUUCACCAACAGGUGGUUUUGUGUGCACAUGAAGACUUGCUGGAAAGCUUCAACGCUUCAAGAAGCUUCCUCUCGCCAUCACUACUUAUUGUAAAGUUAUUUUGCGUGAUAUGUUAUGUAAGGUGUGAGGAUUAAUAUACCUAAUAUUUUCAAUAAACUGCAAUAAUGGGUGCAAUCAUAUUGUCUGUGAUCCUUUUUUUGCUGGCAUAAUAAAUAUAUAUAUAUAUAUAUAUUUAAGC